Acanthosepion pharaonis is the source of this 109-nucleotide non-coding RNA. The record is from the annotation of a GenBank genome assembly. Lineage: Eukaryota; Metazoa; Mollusca; Cephalopoda; Sepiida; Sepiidae.
GGCCACAUCGCAUUAAAACACCGAUCCCUGUAUGAUCACCGAAGUUAAGUAACGUCGAGUCUGGUCAGUACCUGGAUGGAUGACUGCUUGGGAAUACCAAGAGCUGUAA